ACUCCUACGGGAGGCAGCAGUGGGGAAUAUUGCACAAUGGGCGCAAGCCUGAUGCAGCCAUGCCGCGUGUAUGAAGAAGGCCUUCGGGUUGUAAAGUACUUUCAGCAGUGAGGAAGGUGGGUAUGUUAAUAGCAUACUCAUUUGACGUUAGCUGCAGAAGAAGCACCGGCUAACUCCGUGCCAGCAGCCGCGGUAAUACGGAGGGUGCGAGCGUUAAUCGGAAUUACUGGGCGUAAAGCGCAUGCAGGUGGUUUGUUAAGUCAGAUGUGAAAGCCCGGGGCUCAACCUCGGAAUUGCAUUUGAAACUGGCAAACUAGAGUACUGUAGAGGGGGGUAGAAUUUCAGGUGUAGCGGUGAAAUGCGUAGAGAUCUGAAGGAAUACCGGUGGCGAAGGCGGCCCCCUGGACAGAUACUGACACUCAGAUGCGAAAGCGUGGGGAGCAAACAGGAUUAGAUACCCUGGUAGCCUCUGC
Molecule: ribosomal RNA, 473 nt
Filed under: uncultured bacterium
Lineage: Bacteria
Description: bacterial SSU rRNA
Rfam family: Bacterial small subunit ribosomal RNA
Source: RNAcentral